AACGAACGCUGGCGGCAUGCCUAACACAUGCAAGUCGAACGAGUGCCUUCGGGUGCUAGUGGCGCACGGGUGCGUAACGCGUGGGAAUCUGCCCUUAGGUUCGGAAUAACAGCUGGAAACGGCUGCUAAUACCGGAUGAUAUCGCGAGAUCAAAGAUUUAUCGCCUGAGGAUGAGCCCGCGUUGGGUUAGGUAGUUGGUGGGGUAAAGGCCUACCAAGCCGACGAUCCAUAGCUGGUCUGAGAGGAUGAUCAGCCACACUGGGACUGAGACACGGCCCAGACUCCUACGGGAGGCAGCAGUGGGGAAUAUUGGACAAUGGGCGCAAGCCUGAUCCAGCAAUGCCGCGUGAGUGAUGAAGGCCCUAGGGUUGUAAAGCUCUUUUACCCGGGAAGAUAAUGACUGUACCGGGAGAAUAAGCCCCGGCUAACUCCGUGCCAGCCGCCGCCGUAA
RNAcentral lists this ribosomal RNA (451 nucleotides) under uncultured bacterium. RNAcentral describes it as "partial 16S ribosomal RNA". It matches the Rfam family "Bacterial small subunit ribosomal RNA", at positions 29 to 523 of the family's 1533-position model. The record is from RNAcentral.